UGCACACAUGACUGCAUGUCGCGUUGGAUAAAAGCAUCUGCUAAAUGGAAUAAA
This is a non-coding RNA of Salmo salar (Atlantic salmon), 54 nucleotides long. The record is from Rfam. Lineage: Eukaryota; Metazoa; Chordata; Actinopteri; Salmoniformes; Salmonidae.